This is a long non-coding RNA of Osmerus eperlanus (European smelt), 727 nucleotides long. RefSeq lists it as uncharacterized. The transcript has 4 exons. Lineage: Eukaryota; Metazoa; Chordata; Actinopteri; Osmeriformes; Osmeridae. The record is from RefSeq and is a predicted model, not a curated record.
CUGAACAUCGAUUGCGCAAUAGGGGGAGUGUCGCAGUUGGCCCGGACACGGACGUGUGGUUCAGCAGACAGACACACGCCCCCUUGCCCUUUUUCCAGGACCCGAAAACGUUGACAGUGUGUAGGCUAAAGUAAAGACGAGUUUUUAGAAUACUGUACAUACUCUUCUGUUUACCAGUGUAUGUCUGGACUCGAACACUGCAGGCUCGUUGUAAGAUGGCGGACCAGUUACCAGAUCUUGACGAGUUUCUGCGAGAGGAUUCCUAUGUGAGCCCCUAUGCGGACGAUAUACGCAGGAGGUACCGUCUGUUUGAGCGCAGGCUGGCUGAGCUGGGAGAGGCGGAGGGAGGAGUGGACGGCCUGACCAGGGGCUACCAGUCCUACGGGGUGCAGAGACUGGAGGACAACAGCAUGCUGUUCAGAGAGUGGGCCCCGGGGCCAGGGCCCUGUACCUGACCGGAGAUUUCAAUGGGUGGAACACCACUUCUCACCCCUACACAAGAAGGACUUUGGGAAAUGGGAGUUGAUUCUUCCUCCCCGGCCAGACCAGUCCCCCCCUGUGGAACACCUGUCCGCACUCAAGCUGGUGGUGCUGACAGCAGAGGGGGAGGAGCUGUUCCGGAUAUCUCCGUGGGCCAAGUACGUCACCAAGACUCCGGACUCCAACACCUAUGACUGGGUGCACUGGGACCCCGCGGAGCCCUUCCUGGUAUGACCUGUUUGUGUGU